This 883-nucleotide ribosomal RNA is filed under the name uncultured archaeon. RNAcentral describes it as "bacterial SSU rRNA". It matches the Rfam family "Archaeal small subunit ribosomal RNA", at positions 35 to 922 of the family's 1478-position model. The record is from RNAcentral.
GGGCCUCGAGUCGACUAGCAUGCGAGUCGAUGUAGCAAUACAUGGCGUACUGCUCAGUAACACGUGGAUAACCUACCCUCAGGUCGGGGAUAAACCCGGGAAACUGGGUAUAAUACCCGCUAGACCUCGAAGGCUGGAAUGCAUCGAGAUUGAAAGCUCCGGCGCCCGAGGAUGGAUCUGCGGCCUAUCAGGUAGUAGUGGGUGUAGCGUUCCUACUAGCCUACGACGGGUACGGGUUGUGAGAGCAAGAGCCCGGAGAUGGAUUCUGAGACACGAAUCCAGGCCCUACGGGGUGCAGCAGGCGCGAAAACUUUACAAUGCCGGCAACGGCGAUAAGGGGACCUCGAGUGCCAGGUUACAAAUCUGGCUGUCGAGAUGCCUAAAAAGCAUUUCAUAGCAAGGGCCGGGCAAGACCGGUGCCAGCCGCCGCGGUAACACCGGCGGCUCGAGUGGUAACCGUUAUUAUUGGGUCUAAAGGGUCUGUAGCCGGCCGGAUAAGUCUCUUGGGAAAUCUGGCAGCUUAACUGUCAGGCUUUCAGGAGAUACUGUCUGGCUCGAGGCCGGGAGAGGUGAGAGGUACUUCAGGGGUAGGGGUGAAAUCUUGUAAUCCUUGAAGGACCACCAGUGGCGAAGGCGUCUCACCAGAACGGACCUGACGGCAAGGGACGAAAGCUAGGGGCACGAACCGGAUUAGAUACCCGGGUAGUCCUAGCCGUAAACGAUACUCGCUAGGUGUCGGCCACGGUGCGACCGUUGUCGGUGCCGUAGGAAGCCGUGAAGCGAGCCACCUGGGAAGUACGGCCGCAAGGCUGAAACUUAAAGGAAUUGGCGGGGGAGCACCACAACGGGUGGAGCUUGCGGUUUAAUUGGAUUCAACGCCGGG